GACGAACGCUGGCGGCGUGCUUAACACAUGCAAGUCGAACGGAAAGGCCAGUGCUUGCACUGGUGCUCGAGUGGCGAACGGGUGAGUAACACGUGGGUGAUCUGCCUUGCACUCUGGGAUAAGCUUGGGAAACUGGGUCUAAUACCGGAUAGGAACCGUCUUUAGUGUGGUGGUUGGAAAGUUUUUUCGGUGCAAGAUGAGCUCGCGGCCUAUCAGCUUGUUGGUGGGGUAAUGGCCUACCAAGGCGUCGACGGGUAGCCGGCCUGAGAGGGUGUACGGCCACAUUGGGACUGAGGUACGGCCCAGGCGCCUACGGGAGGCAGCAGGGGGGAAGAUUGCACAAUGGGCGGAAGCCUGGUGCAGCGACGCCGCGUGGGGGAUGACGGCCUUCGGGUUGUAAACUCCUUUCGACAGGGACGAAGCGUUAUGUGACGGUACCUGUAUAAGAAGCACCGGCUAACUACGUG
This 467-nucleotide ribosomal RNA is filed under the name uncultured bacterium. Its description in RNAcentral is "partial 16S ribosomal RNA". It matches the Rfam family "Bacterial small subunit ribosomal RNA", at positions 28 to 507 of the family's 1533-position model. The record is from RNAcentral.